This 674-nucleotide ribosomal RNA is filed under the name uncultured bacterium. RNAcentral describes it as "bacterial SSU rRNA". It matches the Rfam family "Bacterial small subunit ribosomal RNA", at positions 62 to 783 of the family's 1533-position model. The record is from RNAcentral.
UCGAACGCUAUCUUUGAUAGAGUGGCGCACGGGUGAGUAACGCGUGGGAACCUGCCUUUCUCUGCGGGACAACGGUUGGAAACGACCGCUAAUACCGCAUACGCCCUACGGGGGAAAGGUCUGCCGGAGAAAGAGGGGCCCGCGUUCGAUUAGCUAGUUGGUGAGGUAAUGGCUCACCAAGGCGACGAUCGAUAGCUGGUCUGAGAGGAUGAUCAGCCACACUGGGACUGAGACACGGCCCAGACUCCUACGGGAGGCAGCAGUGGGGAAUAUUGGACAAUGGGGGCAACCCUGAUCCAGCAAUGCCGCGUGUGUGAUGAAGGCCUUAGGGUUGUAAAGCACUUUCAUUGGUGAAGAUGAUGACGGUAACCAAAGAAGAAGCCCCGGCUAACUUCGUGCCAGCAGCCGCGGUAAUACGAAGGGGGCGAGCGUUGUUCGGAAUUACUGGGCGUAAAGGGCGCGUAGGCGGUCCUUUAAGUUAGGCGUGAAAGCCCCGGGCUCAACCUGGGAACUGCGCUUAAUACUGAGGGACUAGAAAACGGAAGAGGGUAGUGGAAUUCCCAGUGUAGAGGUGAAAUUCGUAGAUAUUGGGAAGAACACCAGUGGCGAAAGCGGCUACCUGGUCCGAUUUUGACGCUGAGGCGCGAAAGCGUGGGGAGCAAACAGGAUUAGAU